This 164-nucleotide ribosomal RNA is filed under the name uncultured bacterium. RNAcentral describes it as "partial 16S rRNA". It matches the Rfam family "Bacterial small subunit ribosomal RNA", at positions 355 to 511 of the family's 1533-position model. The record is from RNAcentral.
UAGGGAAUCUUCCACAAUGGGCGAAAGCCUGAUGGAGCAACGCCGCGUGUGUGAUGAAGGGUUUCGGCUCGUAAAACACUGUUGUAAGGGAAGAAUGACAUUGAGAGUAACUGUUCAAUGUGUGACGGUAUCUUACCAGAAAGGAACGGCUAAAUACGUGUCAG